GACGAACGCUGGCGGCGUGCUUAACACAUGCAAGUCGAACGGAAAGGCCCUGCUUUUGUGGGGUGCUCGAGUGGUGAACGGGUGUGUAACACGUGAGUAACCUCCCCUUUACUUUUGUAUAACUUCAGUAAACUGCUGCUAAUACCGGAUAGUAGCCCCUGCCGCAUAGUGGGGGUUGGAAAGUUGCGGUGGCUGAGGAUUGCCUCCCGGUUUAUCCGCUUGUUGCUGGGGUAGUGACCUACCAAGGAUUUGACGUGUAGCCGGGCAACGAGGGUGACCGGACACAUUAGGAGUGAGGUACAGCCUAGAAGUCUAAGGGAGGCAACAGUCGAGAAUAUUACACAACGGGAGGAAGCCUGAUGCAGCAACGCCGCGUGUGCGAUGACGUCCUUCCGGUUGUAAACCCAUUUCGCCUGUGACGAAGCGGGAGUGACGGUAAUGGGUAUAGGAGCACCGGAUAACUACGUG
Molecule: ribosomal RNA, 468 nt
Filed under: uncultured bacterium
Lineage: Bacteria
Description: partial 16S ribosomal RNA
Rfam family: Bacterial small subunit ribosomal RNA
Source: RNAcentral